RNAcentral lists this transfer RNA (75 nucleotides) under Deltaproteobacteria bacterium. RNAcentral's name for it is "tRNA-Ala". It matches the Rfam family "tRNA". Rfam says of the family: Transfer RNA (tRNA) molecules are approximately 80 nucleotides in length. Their secondary structure includes four short double-helical elements and three loops (D, anti-codon, and T loops). The record is from RNAcentral. Lineage: Bacteria; Pseudomonadati; Myxococcota; Myxococcia.
GGGCGUGUCGUCUAAUGGGAAGACACUGCGCUUGCACCGCAGUUAUGAGGGUUCGACUCCCUCCACGGUCCACCA